RNAcentral lists this ribosomal RNA (496 nucleotides) under uncultured bacterium. Its description in RNAcentral is "partial 16S ribosomal RNA". It matches the Rfam family "Bacterial small subunit ribosomal RNA", at positions 29 to 507 of the family's 1533-position model. The record is from RNAcentral.
AUGAACGCUGGCGGCGUGCCUAAUCCAUGCAAGUCGAGCGAACAGACGAGGAGCUUGCUCCUCUGACGUUAGCGGCGGACGGGUGAGUAACACGUGGAUAACAUACCUAUAAGACUGGGAUAACUUCGGGAAACCGGAGCUAAUACCGGAUAAUAUAUUGAACCGCAUGGUUCAAUAGUGAAAGACGGUUUUGCUGUCACUUAUAGAUGGAUCCGCGCCGCAUUAGCUAGUUGGUAAGGUAACGGCUUACCAAGGCAACGAUGCGUAGCCGACCUGAGAGGGUGAUCGGCCACACUGGAACUGAGACACGGUCCAGACUCCUACGGGAGGCAGCAGUAGGGAAUCUUCCGCAAUGGGCGAAAGCCUGACGGAGCAACGCCGCGUGAGUGAUGAAGGUCUUCGGAUCGUAAAACUCUGUUAUUAGGGAAGAACAAAUGUGUAAGUAACUAUGCACGUCUUGACGGUACCUAAUCAGAAAGCCACGGCUAACUACGUG